RNAcentral lists this transfer RNA (73 nucleotides) under Chloroflexota bacterium. RNAcentral describes it as "Chloroflexi bacterium tRNA-Thr". It matches the Rfam family "tRNA". From Rfam's summary of the family: Transfer RNA (tRNA) molecules are approximately 80 nucleotides in length. The record is from RNAcentral. Lineage: Bacteria; Bacillati; Chloroflexota. RNAcentral also lists the same sequence under 1 other name.
GCCGACGUGGCGCAAGUGGAAGCGCAUCCGACUUGUAAUCGGACGGUUAUCGGUUCAAGUCCGAUCGUCGGCU